RNAcentral lists this ribosomal RNA (334 nucleotides) under uncultured eukaryote. RNAcentral describes it as "partial 18S ribosomal RNA". It matches the Rfam family "Eukaryotic small subunit ribosomal RNA", at positions 1470 to 1796 of the family's 1831-position model. The record is from RNAcentral.
CCCUUAGAUGUCCGGGGUUGCACGCGCGCUACACUGACUGGCUCAGCGUGUGCCUACCCUACGCCGGCAGGCGCGGGUAACCCGUUGAACCCCAUUCGUGAUGGGGAUCGGGGAUUGCAAUUAUUCCCCAUGAACGAGGAAUUCCCAGUAAGUGCGGGUCAUAAGCUUGCGUUGAUUAAGUCCCUGCCCUUUGUACACACCGCCCGUCGCUACUACCGAUUGGAUGGUUUAGUGAGGCCCUCGGAUCGGCCCCGCCGGGGUCGGCCCACGGCCCUGGCGGAGCGCUGAGAAGACGGUCGAACUUGACUAUCUAGAGGAAGUAAAAGUCGUAACA